Molecule: ribosomal RNA, 248 nt
Filed under: uncultured Eubacteriales bacterium
Lineage: Bacteria; Bacillati; Bacillota; Clostridia; Eubacteriales
Description: uncultured Clostridiales bacterium partial 16S ribosomal RNA
Rfam family: Bacterial small subunit ribosomal RNA
Source: RNAcentral
UACGUAGGAGGCAAGCGUUAUCCGGAAUGACUGGGCGUAAAGGGUGCGUAGGUGGUUUGACAAGUUGGUAGCGUAAUUCCGGGGCUCAACUUCGGAACUACUACCAAAACUGUUGGGCUUGAGUGCAGGAGGGGCAUAUGGAAUUCCUAGUGUAGCGGUGGAAUGCGUAGAUAUUAGGAGGAACACCAGUGGCGAAGGCGAUAUGCUGGACUGUAACUGACACUGAGGCACGAAAGCGUGGGGAGCAA